GACGAACGCUGGCGGCGUGCUUAACACAUGCAAGUCGAACGAUGAUGCUGGAGCUUGCUCCAGUUGAUUAGUGGCGAACGGGUGAGUAACACGUGAGCAAUCUGCCCUUGACUCUGGGAUAACUGCGGGAAACUGUAGCUAAUACCGGAUACUUUCACCGGAAGGCAUCUUCUGGUGAGGAAAGAAUUUCGGUCAGGGAUGAGCUCGCGGCCUAUCAGCGUGUUGGUGAGGUAACGGCUCACCAAGGCGACGACGGGUAGCUGGCCUGAGAGGGUGACCGGCCACACUGGGACUGAGACACGGCCCAGACUCCUACGGGAGGCAGCAGUGGGGAAUAUUGCACAAUGGGCGCAAGCCUGAUGCAGCAACGCCGCGUGAGGGAUGAAGGCCUUCGGGUUGUAAACCUCUUUUAGCAGGGAAGAAGCGAAAGUGACGGUACCUGCAGAAAAAGCACCGGCUAACUACGUGCCAGCCGCCGCCGUAA
RNAcentral lists this ribosomal RNA (484 nucleotides) under uncultured bacterium. RNAcentral describes it as "partial 16S ribosomal RNA". It matches the Rfam family "Bacterial small subunit ribosomal RNA", at positions 28 to 523 of the family's 1533-position model. The record is from RNAcentral.